AAACUUUACAAUGCUGGCAACAGCGAUAAGGGAACCUCUAGUGCCAGGUUACAAAUCUGGCUGUCGAGAUGCCUAAAAAGCAUUUCAUAGCAAGGGCCGGGCAAGACCGUUGCCAGCCGCCGCGGUAACACCGGCGGCUCGAGUGGUAACCGUUAUUAUUGGGUCUAAAGGGUCUGUAGCCGGCCGGAUAAGUCUCUUGAGAAAUCUGGCAGCUUAACUGUCAGGCUUUCAGGAGAUACUGUCUGGCUCGAGGCCGGGAGAGGUGAGAGGUACUUCAGGGGUAGGGGUGAAAUCUUGUAAUCCUUGAAGGACCACAAGUGGCGAAGGCGUCUCACCAGAACGGACCUGACGGCAAGGGACGAAAGCUAGGGGCACGAACCG
Molecule: ribosomal RNA, 381 nt
Filed under: uncultured bacterium
Lineage: Bacteria
Description: bacterial SSU rRNA
Rfam family: Archaeal small subunit ribosomal RNA
Source: RNAcentral